CCAACAGAAAAUUUCUGUCCGGACUUCUACAGCAGAUGACUUCCAUCUACAGCAUCAACGUCUAAGGCACCCAACAACAGUUAACCCAUCAGCAACCUCAGAAACAUCCGAGCUUCUCUUAAAUUGCUGAGAUAGAGAGAUAUUCCGCUCCACCAGACGUCCCAACUGAGCUUCAGCCGUCCGGCCCGAACUCCCCAGCA
Molecule: long non-coding RNA, 200 nt
Filed under: Elaeis guineensis (African oil palm)
Lineage: Eukaryota; Viridiplantae; Streptophyta; Magnoliopsida; Arecales; Arecaceae
Description: long non-coding RNA (EGUI_LNC065659)
Source: RNAcentral